RNAcentral lists this ribosomal RNA (542 nucleotides) under uncultured bacterium. RNAcentral's name for it is "bacterial SSU rRNA". It matches the Rfam family "Bacterial small subunit ribosomal RNA", at positions 8 to 526 of the family's 1533-position model. The record is from RNAcentral.
AGAGUUUGAUCCUGGCUCAGAAUCAACGCUGGCGGCGUGCCUCAGACAUGCAAGUCGAACGCGAAAGUUCCCUUCGGGGGGCGAGUAGAGUGGCGCACGGGUGAGUAACACGUAGGUAAUCUACCUUUGGAUUGGGAAUAACAACCGGAAACGGUUGCUAAUACCGAAUAAUGCAGCGGCACCUAAUGGUGACAGUUGUUAAAGCGGGGGAUCGCAAGACCUCGCGUCUGAAGAGGAGCCUGCGGCGGAUUAGCUAGUUGGUAGGGUAACGGCUUACCAAGGCGAUGAUCCGUAGCCGGCCUGAGAGGGCGGUCGGCCACACUGACACUGACAUACGGGUCAGACUCCUACGGGAGGCAGCAGUGGGGAAUAUUGGACAAUGGGCGCAAGCCUGAUCCAGCCAUACCGCGUGGGUGAAGAAGGCCUUCGGGUUGUAAAGCCCUUUUGUUGGGAAAGAAAUCCAGCCGGCUAAUACCUGGUUGGGAUGACGGUACCCAAAGAAUAAGCACCGGCUAACUUCGUGCCAGCAGCCGCGGUAAUAC